AGAGUUUGAUCCUGGCUCAGAACGUACGCUGGCGGCACGCCUAACACAUGCAAGUCGAACGAAGUAGCAAUACUUAGUGGCAGACGGGUGAGUAACAUGUAGGUAUCUGCCCUUUGGCCUGGAAUAACACGAGGAAACUUGUGCUAAUACCGGAUAAGUCUUUACGGAGAAAGCUUUAUGCACCAUUGGAUGAGCCUGCACUUGAUUAGUUUGUUGGUGGGGUAAUGGCCUACCAAGACUGUGAUCAAUAGCUGAUUUGAGAGGAUGAUCAGCCACAUUGGGACUGAGACACGGCCCAAACUCCUACGGGAGGCAGCAGUGGGGAAUCUUGCACAAUGGAGGAAACUCUGAUGCAGCGAUGCCGCGUGAGUGAAGAAGGCCCUUGGGUUGUAAAGCUCUUUCGUCGGGGAAGAAAAUGACUGUACCCGAAUAAGAAGGUCCGGCUAACUUCGUGCCAGCAGCCGCGGUAAUACGAAGGGACCUAGCGUAGUUCGGAAUUACUGGGCUUAAAGAGUUCGUAGGUGGUUGAAAAAGUUGGUGGUGAAAUCCCAGAGCUUAACUCUGGAACUGCCAUCAAAACUUUUCAGCUAGAGUAUGAUAGAGGAAAGCAGAAUUUCUAGUGUAGAGGUGAAAUUCGUAGAUAUUAGAAAGAAUACCAAUUGCGAAGGCAGCUUUCUGGAUCAUUACUGACACUGAGGAACGAAAGCAUGGGUAGCGAAGAGGAUUAGAUACCCUCGUAGUCCAUGCCGUAAACGAUGUGUGUUAGACGUUGGAAAUUUAUUUUCAGUGUCGCAGC
Molecule: ribosomal RNA, 796 nt
Filed under: uncultured Candidatus Pelagibacter sp.
Lineage: Bacteria; Pseudomonadati; Pseudomonadota; Alphaproteobacteria; Candidatus Pelagibacterales; Candidatus Pelagibacteraceae
Description: bacterial SSU rRNA
Rfam family: Bacterial small subunit ribosomal RNA
Source: RNAcentral